Molecule: unclassified non-coding RNA, 400 nt
Filed under: soil metagenome
Description: partial contains 5.8S ribosomal RNA, internal transcribed spacer 2, and large subunit ribosomal RNA
Rfam family: 5.8S ribosomal RNA (bases 1-122)
Source: RNAcentral
GAUGAAGAACGCAGCGAAAUGCGAUACUUGGUGUGAAUUGCAGAAUCCCGUGAACCAUCGAGUCUUUGAACGCAAGUUGCGCCUCAAGCCAUUAGGUUGAGGGCACGUCUGCCUGGGCGUCACAUAUCGUUGCCUGAUGCCAGUUUCCUCGUGAUGGGUGACUGUGCAGGGCGAAUGAUGGCUUCCCGUGAGCAUUGUUGCCUCAUUGUUGGUUGAAAAUUGAGUCCUUGGUAGGGAGCGCCGUGAUAGAUGGUGGUUGAGUGACGAACGAGACCCAAUCAUGUGAGACCCCUACCGAAUUUGGCCUUCAUGACCCACAUGCGUCUUUGGAACGCUCAUGACGAGACCUCAGGUCAGGCGGGGCUACCCGCUGAGUUUAAGCAUAUCAAUAAGCGGAGGA